UGGGGAAUUUUGGACAAUGGACGCNAGUCUGAUCCAGCCAUUCCGCGUGCAGGACGAAGGCCUUCGGGUUGUAAACUGCUUUUGUACAGAACGAAAAAGUCUCUAUUAAUACUAGGGGCUCAUGACGGUACUGUAAGAAUAAGCACCGGCUAACUACGUGCCAGCAGCCGCGGUAAUACGUAGGGUGCAAGCGUUAAUCGGAAUUACUGGGCGUAAAGCGUGCGCAGGCGGUUAUAUAAGACAGAUGUGAAAUCCCCGGGCUCAACCUGGGAACUGCAUUUGUGACUGUAUAGCUGGAGUGCGGCAGAGGGGGAUGGAAUUCCGCGUGUAGCAGUGAAAUGCGUAGAUAUGCGGAGGAACACCGAUGGCGAAGGCAAUCCCCUGGGCCUGCACUGACGCUCAUGCACGAAAGCGUGGGGAGCAAACAGGAUUAGAUACCCUGGUAGUCCACGCCCUAAACGAUGUCUACUGGUUGUUGGGCCUUUUCUGGUUCAGUAACGAAGCUAACGCGUGAAGUAGACCGCCUGGGGAGUACGGUCGCAAGAUUA
RNAcentral lists this ribosomal RNA (548 nucleotides) under uncultured bacterium. RNAcentral's name for it is "bacterial SSU rRNA". It matches the Rfam family "Bacterial small subunit ribosomal RNA", at positions 355 to 896 of the family's 1533-position model. The record is from RNAcentral.